Molecule: long non-coding RNA, 544 nt
Organism: Hyla sarda
Lineage: Eukaryota; Metazoa; Chordata; Amphibia; Anura; Hylidae
Exons: 3
Source: RefSeq, a predicted model, not a curated record
CUCAAAUGCGCAGUGCUCUCUCCUCCACUCAGCGGUGUGUGCAUUUUCAGGAUAAAAAGGAGGCCUGACUUCAAAAGAUCUCGAGUCCGUAAACCAAAGAAAAUGGCAUAGAGAGGAAGAGAUAACAAAGAGACGUUCAAAAGGCGUAAGGGACCUAUGCAGGGACUCCUUGGCCUCCUGCCGGAUCUUUGUGCCUUGUGAAAGCGUUCCCUGUUGUUCCAGUGUUACCCUGCCUGUUGCCGACCUGUUGCCCAUGACUACUGCCUUAGAACCUGUGCUGCCUGCCCUGACCAUUGCUACGUCUGACUACGCUUCUGCCUAUCCCUCCUGUAUCACGUCUAUCUCAGGAACCAGAGGAGUUGAGUCGCUACCGGGUGGAACGACCUGGGGAUUACUGCCACAGCAAGACCAUCCCGCUUUGCGGCGGGCUCUGGUGAAAACCAUUUUUUUUACAUUCAUUAAAAAAAAUUAUGAGAUAUAUAUUUUCCUGCCCUGGACUAACAUUAACCCUUCCCUAGAAUAUAAGGCAUUAACCAUUAGGCCA